UGGGGAAUAUUGGACAAUGGGCGCAAGCCUGAUCCAGCCAUACCGCGUGGGUGAAGAAGGCCUUCGGGUUGUAAAGCCCUUUUGUUGGGAAAGAAAUCCAGCUGGCUAAUACCCGGUUGGGAUGACGGUACCCAAAGAAUAAGCACCGGCUAACUUCGUGCCAGCAGCCGCGGUAAUACGAAGGGUGCAAGCGUUACUCGGAAUUACUGGGCGUAAAGCGUGCGUAGGUGGUCGUUUAAGUCCGUUGUGAAAGCCCUGGGCUCAACCUGGGAACUGCAGUGGAUACUGGGCGACUAGAGUGUGGUAGAGGGUAGCGGAAUUCCUGGUGUAGCAGUGAAAAUGCGUAGAGAUCAGGAGGAACAUCCAUGGCGAAGGCAGCUACCUGGACCAACACUGACACUGAGGCACGAAAAGCGUGGGGAGCAAAACAGGAUUAGAUACCCUGGUAGUCCACGCCCUAAACGAUGCGAACUGGAUGUUGGGUGCAAUUUUGGCACGCAGUAUCGAAGCUAACGCGUUAAGUUCGCCGCCUGGGGAGUACGGUCGC
This 547-nucleotide ribosomal RNA is filed under the name uncultured bacterium. Its description in RNAcentral is "partial 16S ribosomal RNA". It matches the Rfam family "Bacterial small subunit ribosomal RNA", at positions 355 to 889 of the family's 1533-position model. The record is from RNAcentral.